GUACACUCCUGCGGGAGGCAGCAGUGGGGAAUAUUGCACAAUGGGCGCAAGCCUGAUGCAGCCAUGCCGCGUGUAUGAAGAAGGCCUUCGGGUUGUAAAGUACUUUCAGCGGGGAGGAAGGCAAUACGGUUAAUAACCGUGUUGAUUGACGUUACCCGCAGAAGAAGCACCGGCUAACUCCGUGCCAGCAGCCGCGGUAAUACGGAGGGUGCAAGCGUUAAUCGGAAUUACUGGGCGUAAAGCGCACGCAGGCGGUCUGUCAAGUCGGAUGUGAAAUCCCCGGGCUCAACCUGGGAACUGCAUUCGAAACUGGCAGGCUUGAGUCUUGUAGAGGGGGGUAGAAUUCCAGGUGUAGCGGUGAAAUGCGUAGAGAUCUGGAGGAAUACCGGUGGCGAAGGCGGCCCCCUGGACAAAGACUGACGCUCAGGUGCGAAAGCGUGGGGAGCAAACAGGAUUAGAAACCCGGGUAGUCCCA
RNAcentral lists this ribosomal RNA (475 nucleotides) under uncultured organism. Its description in RNAcentral is "partial 16S ribosomal RNA". It matches the Rfam family "Bacterial small subunit ribosomal RNA", at positions 331 to 797 of the family's 1533-position model. The record is from RNAcentral.